UCCCUGCCCCAGCCCUGAAAAGCUCCGGGUUCCCCCAGUCGUCAGAGCCCCAGGCCCUUUAAUUUGACCCUGAGGGCUCCCAGCCACCUCUUUGGCUGGGAGUCCCUGGUUGAUUUAACAUCAAGUAACACCUCCCCACCACCAACCUUCCUUUUUGACCCACAGCUGUUUUGGUGGGGCGGCGCUGGGGAAGGAGGGUUUGUUUCUGCAGGGCUGGGCGGGGUGUUUCCGCCAGGCUGGGAGGUCCUGAGUGGGGGGUGUUUCCGCAGGGCCGGGGGGUUUCGGUCCUCAGCUGUUUUCUUUGGAGUAUUGUGGCCCUCGCUGUUUUACUCAAAGUACUGUACAGGAACUUUUCAGGGGGAUUAAGGCAAAAUGCCACAUUUAUUAGUAAUACAGGUAUCAAUUAAUACUCUAUGAUAUGCACAUGAGAUAUAUAUCACAGUCAUGCAUUCACGCACACACACAGACAUAAACACACUCCGUCUUGCUGUUGUUACCAACUAGUUGCUCCCCUUAACUGCACUGGCCAGGUGAGUUAGAUGGGGGAGGGGUGGAGCCGGGCUUCUACCGAUCCAAAUCGAUGGUCCGAUGGUGACAAGACGAGAUCCGGGGUCCUUCUGCAAGACACCUCGCAUUUAUAGCAGCUUCCCUCUUAUGCAAAUCUAGACCAGAUUCAAAAUCUGGGUCUGCGUCCGUUGGUCUUUGUGCUGCUUUUCUCUGGGUGUUGUCCCAAUGCUGCUCAAAGAGGGUGUUUUCUAAAGAAGGUGCUUGCUUCUAAUCCCUGAGGCCAUCAAUAUGUCUGCUCUUCUUUAUUGGGCCCACUUGACAAGUUGUAUUGUCCUUUGCUCUGGCUCCCAUUCCCUCUUCAACUGUUGUAGCUGUCUGGAGGUGGGUGUCUUCCAAGCCUCACUCAUUCACACCUCAUUCAGUCAAUAGAGCAAUUGAUUACAGAGUGCGGGGGAAGAUCUUAUUCUACUUCUAGCAAAAAGGCACAUGUUUUCUUUUACUUUAACUAUACUAUCCUUAGGGGCUAUAACAUUUGAUACAAAGUUUUCUACCAAUUCUCUAUAUAGGGAUCUAAUACAAAGUUGUAUGAAAAUAGAGAGGCACAAUGCCAAGUCAUAUGAAUUACAAAAUAACAUCAUGCCGGAUGCAAUGUCAUAAAGAUAAAGAUACUUAAUACAAAAUAACACAAUGCAACGUUAUAAAGAUUUAUAGAGAUAGUUAAUACAGAGAUUUCUCUACAUCACCACUUUACGAGUUGUGCAGGCCUGCUGACAGCAUUCGUGGGGCUUCUUGCUCGUGUGGAUUCUCUGAUGCUGAAUAAGGUGCGAGCUGCGACUGAAAGUUUUCCCGCACUCACUGCAUUCACAGGGCCUCUCCCCUGUGUGGAUUCUCUGAUGUUGAGAAAGGCCUGAUCUGUAAGUGAAGUUUUUCCCACACUCAGCACAUGUAUUUUUUUUGCUUUUCCCUGCAGAUUUCCUGCUGUAUUCUGGUUUCCUUAAGGCCCUUCUGAGUUCCCUGACAGGAAAUAAAUUUAUCCAUUUUCUCCCCUG
Gopherus evgoodei (Goodes thornscrub tortoise) is the source of this 1556-nucleotide long non-coding RNA. RefSeq lists it as uncharacterized. Lineage: Eukaryota; Metazoa; Chordata; Testudines; Testudinidae. The transcript is spliced from 2 exons. The record is from RefSeq and is a predicted model, not a curated record.